CUGAACCAGCCAAGUAGCGUGAAGGAUGAAGGCUCUAUGGGUCGUAAACUUCUUUUAUAUAAGAAUAAAGUGCAGUAUGUAUACUGUUUUGUAUGUAUUAUAUGAAUAAGGAUCGGCUAACUCCGUGCCAGCAGCCGCGGUAAUACGGAGGAUCCGAGCGUUAUCCGGAUUUAUUGGGUUUAAAGGGGGCGUAGGUGGACUGGUAAGUCAGUUGUGAAAGUUUGCGG
This 227-nucleotide ribosomal RNA is filed under the name uncultured bacterium. RNAcentral's name for it is "partial 16S ribosomal RNA". It matches the Rfam family "Bacterial small subunit ribosomal RNA", at positions 383 to 607 of the family's 1533-position model. The record is from RNAcentral.